RNAcentral lists this non-coding RNA (27 nucleotides) under Mus musculus (house mouse). Lineage: Eukaryota; Metazoa; Chordata; Mammalia; Rodentia; Muridae. The record is from RNAcentral.
UGGAAAGGAAAGCGCCUGGCUACCAGA